UCCGGAUUUAUUGGGUUUAAAGGGUGCGUAGGUGGGAUAAUAAGUCAGAGGUGAAAGCUAGCAGCUUAACUGUUAAAUUGCCUUUGAUACUGUUAUUCUUGAGUAUAGUUGGCGUUGGCGGAAUGUGACAUGUAGCGGUGAAAUGCGUAGAUAUGUCACAGAACACCGAUCGCGAAGGCAGCUAACGAAACUAUCACUGACAUUGAUGCACGAAAGCGUGGGGAGCAAACAGG
Molecule: ribosomal RNA, 233 nt
Filed under: uncultured bacterium
Lineage: Bacteria
Description: partial 16S ribosomal RNA
Rfam family: Bacterial small subunit ribosomal RNA
Source: RNAcentral